AAGGUAGCGUGAUAAGUUGCCCUUUAAUUGGGGGCUUGAAUGAACGGACACACGAAAGUUUAGCUGUCUCUUUUAUAGCCAUGGAAAUUAAUCUUUAGGUGAAAAAACCUAAAUAGACUCAAAGGACAAAAAGACCCCAUAGAGCUUUGUCUUACUUUUUUUUUAAAAAACCUAUUUAUUAGAAUCAUUUUUAACAAAAUAAAAAUACUUAACUGGGGCGGUUGAAGAAAACUUAAACUUCUUUUAAAGUAUAAAAACACAUAACGGUUCAACAAACCUUUCUAAAAUUGAUCCUAAACACUUAUAUAUAUUUAGUAUUCUAAUGUCUAAGUUACAUGAAUUAAUUUUAAAUUAUUUCAACUUAAACCAUUCUUAUACCUAUCUAAUAUUCACAUAUAUAUAUAUAUAUAUUUGUUGAUCAAAGGAAAAGCUACCUUGGGGAUAACAGAUUUAUCCUUCUUAAGAGUCCACAUUGACAGAAGGGUUUGACACCUCGAUGUUGGCUUAGGGAAUCCAAAGGGUCAGCAGAAGCCCUUAAUGGKAGGUUUGUUCAACCUUAAAACCCCUACAUGAUCUGAGUUCA
Molecule: ribosomal RNA, 583 nt
Filed under: Amphisamytha carldarei
Lineage: Eukaryota; Metazoa; Annelida; Polychaeta; Terebellida; Ampharetidae
Description: partial 16S ribosomal RNA
Rfam family: Bacterial large subunit ribosomal RNA
Source: RNAcentral